GCCGAAGUGGUGGAAUUGGCAGACACGCGUGGUUAAGGGCCACGUGGAGCAAUCCGUGGGGGUUCGAGUCCCCCCUUCGGCA
Molecule: transfer RNA, 82 nt
Filed under: Pseudomonadota bacterium
Lineage: Bacteria; Pseudomonadati; Pseudomonadota
Description: Proteobacteria bacterium (marine metagenome) tRNA-Leu
Rfam family: tRNA
About the family: Transfer RNA (tRNA) molecules are approximately 80 nucleotides in length. Their secondary structure includes four short double-helical elements and three loops (D, anti-codon, and T loops).
Source: RNAcentral